This 289-nucleotide ribosomal RNA is filed under the name uncultured bacterium. RNAcentral describes it as "partial 16S ribosomal RNA". It matches the Rfam family "Bacterial small subunit ribosomal RNA", at positions 773 to 1060 of the family's 1533-position model. The record is from RNAcentral.
GUGGAUUAGAUACCCUGGUAGUCCACGCUGUAAACGAUGGAUGCGGGGUGUGGGUGACAAUACGGUCAUCCGUGCCGAAGCUAACGCAUUAAGCAUCCCGCCUGGGGAGUACGGUCGCAAGACUAAAACUCAAAGGAAUUGACGGGGGCCUGCACAAGCGGUGGAGUAUGUGGUUUAAUUCGACGCAACGCGCAGAACCUUACCUGGGUUUGACAUCCCGCGACAGCCUUGGAAACAGGGUUGCCCCUUCGGGGGCGCGGAGACAGGUGCUGCAUGGUCGUCGUCAGCU